UGGUGGAGCAGAUGCUAUAUUUGAAGAAUCACUCUGACAUAUUCUAAAAUAAUCUACAAAUUAGAGAAAGAUACACUUUUCAUAACAGAUAGUCGGUAGUGGUAGCCUUUUUCUCCAUUGAUUUGUCCAAAAUGAUGGUUCGUUUCGAAGCUGAAAUAUUUUCACAUAUGUGGUAAAAUUUUCAGGGGUACGAGCGAAGUAAGAG
RNAcentral lists this long non-coding RNA (205 nucleotides) under Mytilus galloprovincialis (Mediterranean mussel). Lineage: Eukaryota; Metazoa; Mollusca; Bivalvia; Mytilida; Mytilidae. The record is from RNAcentral.